RNAcentral lists this ribosomal RNA (1343 nucleotides) under uncultured bacterium. RNAcentral's name for it is "16S ribosomal RNA". It matches the Rfam family "Bacterial small subunit ribosomal RNA", at positions 28 to 1378 of the family's 1533-position model. The record is from RNAcentral.
GACGAACGCUGGCGGCGUGUUUAACACAUGCAAGUCGAACGGAAAGGCCCUGCUUUUGUGGGGUGCUCGAGUGGCGAACGGGUGAGUAACACGUGAGUAACCUGCCCUUGACUUUGGGAUAACUUCAGGAAACUGGGGCUAAUACCGGAUAGGAGCUCCUGCUGCAUGGUGGGGGUUGGAAAGUUUCGGCGGUUGGGGAUGGACUCGCGGCUUAUCAGCUUGUUGGUGGGGUAGUGGCUUACCAAGGCUUUGACGGGUAGCCGGCCUGAGAGGGUGACCGGCCACAUUGGGACUGAGAUACGGCCCAGACUCCUACGGGAGGCAGCAGUGGGGAAUAUUGCACAAUGGGCGGAAGCCUGAUGCAGCAACGCCGCGUGCGGGAUGACGGCCUUCGGGUUGUAAACCGCUUUCGCCUGUGACGAAGCGUGAGUGACGGUAAUGGGUAAAGAAGCACCGGCUAACUACGUGCCAGCAGCCGCGGUGAUACGUAGGGUGCGAGCGUUGUCCGGAUUUAUUGGGCGUAAAGGGCUCGUAGGUGGUUGAUCGCGUCGGAAGUGUAAUCUUGGGGCUUAACCCUGAGCGUGCUUUCGAUACGGGUUGACUUGAGGAAGGUAGGGGAGAAUGGAAUUCCUGGUGGAGCGGUGGAAUGCGCAGAUAUCAGGAGGAACACCAGUGGCGAAGGCGGUUCUCUGGGCCUUUCCUGACGCUGAGGAGCGAAAGCGUGGGGAGCGAACAGGCUUAGAUACCCUGGUAGUCCACGCUGUAAACGGUGGGUACUAGGUGUGGGGUCCAUUCCACGGGUUCCGUGCCGUAGCUAACGCUUUAAGUACCCCGCCUGGGGAGUACGGCCGCAAGGCUAAAACUCAAAGGAAUUGACGGGGCCCCGCACAAGCGGCGGAGCAUGCGGAUUAAUUCGAUGCAACGCGUAGAACCUUACCUGGGUUUGACAUGGAUCGGGAGUGCUCAGAGAUGGGUGUGCCUCUUUUGGGGUCGGUUCACAGGUGGUGCAUGGCUGUCGUCAGCUCGUGUCGUGAGAUGUUGGGUUAAGUCCCGCAACGAGCGCAACCCUUGUUCACUGUUGCCAGCACGUUAUGGUGGGGACUCAGUGGAGACCGCCGGGGUCAACUCGGAGGAAGGUGGGGAUGACGUCAAGUCAUCAUGCCCCUUAUGUCCAGGGCUUCACGCAUGCUACAAUGGCUGGUACAGAGAGUGGCGAGCCUGUGAGGGUGAGCGAAUCUCGGAAAGCCGGUCUCAGUUCGGAUUGGGGUCUGCAACUCGACCUCAUGAAGUCGGAGUCGCUAGUAAUCGCAGAUCAGCAACGCUGCGGUGAAUACGUUCCCGGG